This 253-nucleotide ribosomal RNA is filed under the name uncultured bacterium. RNAcentral's name for it is "partial 16S ribosomal RNA". It matches the Rfam family "Archaeal small subunit ribosomal RNA", at positions 474 to 727 of the family's 1478-position model. The record is from RNAcentral.
UACCAGCACCCCGAGUUUUCUGGACGAUUAUUGGGCCUAAAGCAUCCGUAGCCUGUUCUGCAAGUCCUCCGUUAAAUCCACCUGCUUAACGGAUGGGCCGCGGGGGAUACUGCAGAGCUAGGAGGCGGGAGAGGCAAACGGUACUCAGUGGGUAGGGGUAAAAUCCAUUGAUCUACUGAAGACCACCAGUGGCGAAGGCGGUUUGCCAGAACGCGCUCGACGGUGAGGGAUGAAAGCUGGGGGAGCAAACCGG